Dreissena polymorpha is the source of this 493-nucleotide long non-coding RNA. RefSeq lists it as uncharacterized. The record is from RefSeq and is a predicted model, not a curated record. Lineage: Eukaryota; Metazoa; Mollusca; Bivalvia; Myida; Dreissenidae. The transcript is spliced from 2 exons.
UAAAAUAAAGCUUGUGCCCAUCAGUCACUGUUAUUUCACGCUUGCAUAUUUCAAAACAGGUUGUUUACAGCACGCAUACAUAGAACUCGCAACGCUUUACUGACGUUGGAUCUUUACGGCAGCUGUAUAUAAACAUCAGCACAACUCUCGUAGUAGGGAUAGACAUUCUACCGACUCAGAAAAUAUAACAUGAGAAUGAACUCUUCGUUAAAAACCGUUGUGGCCGUGCUAAUGGUUUCACUGAUGGUGGUUGACCAUGGCUUCGCCAGUGUGAAGUGUAGAGCGGGCUGUAUGGAGACGUACCACGCAUGUAUAUUGCCGUGCCAGGACUCGCCUAUGCACCUGCCACAGACGUGUAAUGGAAAACCCUGCCAUGACGACAUGCAGACGUGCUUGCGUACAAAGUGUAAUGCUCAAGUGUGAUAGACUAUGUAACCAACAGCGUUUUGAGGUGUAUUGCAGUGAUGAAGGAAAUAAAUAUAAUCAAAUGCUG